RNAcentral lists this ribosomal RNA (429 nucleotides) under Sandokanidae sp. PS-2009. RNAcentral's name for it is "partial 16S ribosomal RNA". It matches the Rfam family "Bacterial large subunit ribosomal RNA", at positions 1875 to 2600 of the family's 2925-position model. Lineage: Eukaryota; Metazoa; Arthropoda; Arachnida; Opiliones; Sandokanidae. The record is from RNAcentral.
GGUUAUAAGUUAGUAUUAAUAAUCUUACCUGCUCUAUGCUAUAGUAAAUGGCUGCAGUAUUCUGACUGUACUAAGGUAGCAUAAUCAAUAGCUUUUUAAUUGAAGGCUGGUAUGAAAGGUUAAAACUAUGGGGGCGGUUUUAUUAAUUAAUUUUGAAUUUAAAUUAUAAGUAAAAAUGCUUAUAUUAACCCUUGGGACGAGAAGACCCUAGAAGCUUUAUGCUAAGGUAUUUUAGUUGGGGUGACUAUUGAAGAUAAAUAUCUUUGGUUAGUAUAGUGAAAAAUAAGUUAAGUUACUCUAGGGAUAACAGCGUAAUUUAUUUUCUGAGUUCUUAUUGAAAAAUAGGUUUGCGACCUCGAUGUUGAAUUAAAUGGAAGUAGGGUGGAGAAGCUUUACAGUUUUAGUCUGUUCGACUAUUAAAAUUUUACA